UUGGGCGAGGAAGGGGGAGGAGGCGUGGGGGAGGCCGGCUCACAAACCUUGCCUGGUGUCCCCCCUGCUGGCCCUAGGAGGAAACGUAAACCAGCUUCCUGCCUUCCCGGACAGGCAGGAGUCAGGCAGGAAUGAUCCUCUCAAUAAUUUUCCUGCUUUUGACACAUGCUGUUCCCUCUUCCUGGGAUGCCCUUCGCCAGAAUGGGUGUGUGGCCAGCUCUCAUCAUUCAGUUCCCAGCUCAAAGUCACCUCCACAGACAGUCAUUGUUCACGAAAAUUACACGGGGCAGGUGCAUGGCUGCGAUGCUGAACUGUCAUUCUACUUGACGGGGGAAGGGAGAAGUUUCUUCUGUGGUCUGCAUUGAGGAAUUGCCAAGGCCUGAAAAUCUCUCUGUGCCAAAGUCAAACUGGAUGCUCUUGAUUUGUGAUGCAGAUGUUCUAAUACUGGAGUUGACAAGUGCUCCACACUAAGUUGUUGUUGUUGUUGUUGUUGUUGUUGUUGUUGUUUUGCCUAUUUGC
Molecule: long non-coding RNA, 519 nt
Organism: Leopardus geoffroyi (Geoffroy's cat)
Lineage: Eukaryota; Metazoa; Chordata; Mammalia; Carnivora; Felidae
Exons: 3
Source: RefSeq, a predicted model, not a curated record